RNAcentral lists this long non-coding RNA (362 nucleotides) under Gossypium raimondii (Peruvian cotton). RNAcentral describes it as "long non-coding RNA (GRAI_LNC006980)". Lineage: Eukaryota; Viridiplantae; Streptophyta; Magnoliopsida; Malvales; Malvaceae. The record is from RNAcentral.
GCUAGAUGGGGAGAUUCCCACUGAGCUUGGUAACUUGAUAUCCUUAAAGAAUCUGUCAUUGGCUUCCAAUUCGUUCUCUGGGUCGAUCCCAAGUUCCUUUUCAGCUAUUCCAGGCUUGAUUCAUGUCGAUCUGAGCAACAACCAGUUAAACGGAAGUGUUCCAAAGUUUUUGUCAGAGCUGAAAGGGUUGAAAGUGUUGAAUCUGGAGAACAAUCAGUUCAAUGGGGUUUUACCUUUCAAUGCUAGCUUCAUAAAGCGGUUGGCUGUUUUCAAGGUUGGUGGGAAUAGCAAUUUGUGUUACAAUCGUUCUGUUUUGUCAUCAAAACUGAAGCUUGGGGUUGCUCGUUGCGAUAAGAAUGGAU